AGAACGAUCGNUGGCGGCGUGAUAUAACACAUGCAAGUCGAACGGAGAUUGAGAGCAGCUUGCUUCUCCAAGAUCUUAGUGGCGGACGGGUGAGUAACGCGUGGGCAAUCUGCCCGUAAGAGGGGGACAACACUGUGAAAACGGUGCUAAUACCGCAUAACAUCACUGGUGAGCAUUCACUGGUGAUCAAAGGAGAAAUCCGCUUACGGAUGAGCCCGCGUUGGAUUAGCUAGUUGGUGGGGUAAAGGCCUACCAAGGCGACGAUCCAUAGCUGGUCUGAGAGGAUGAUCAGCCACAUUGUUACUGAGACACGGCCCAGACUCCUACGGGAGGCAUCAGUGG
Molecule: small RNA, 342 nt
Filed under: uncultured bacterium
Lineage: Bacteria
Description: bacterial SSU rRNA
Rfam family: Bacterial small subunit ribosomal RNA
Source: RNAcentral